RNAcentral lists this ribosomal RNA (493 nucleotides) under gamma proteobacterium II-06. RNAcentral describes it as "bacterial SSU rRNA". It matches the Rfam family "Bacterial small subunit ribosomal RNA", at positions 389 to 873 of the family's 1533-position model. Lineage: Bacteria; Pseudomonadati; Pseudomonadota; Gammaproteobacteria. The record is from RNAcentral.
CAGCCAUGCCGCGUGUGUGAAGAAGGCCCUCGGGUUGUAAAGCACUUUCAGUGGGGAAGAAAGCCUGGUGGUUAAUACCCGUCAGGAAGGACAUCACCCACAGAAGAAGCACCGGCUAACUCCGUGCCAGCAGCCGCGGUAAUACGGAGGGUGCGAGCGUUAAUCGGAAUUACUGGGCGUAAAGCGCGCGUAGGUGGCUUGAUAAGCCGGUUGUGAAAGCCCCGGGCUCAACCUGGGAACGGCAUCCGGAACUGUCAGGCUAGAGUGCAGGAGAGGAAGGUAGAAUUCCCGGUGUAGCGGUGAAAUGCGUAGAGAUCGGGAGGAAUACCAGUGGCGAAGGCGGCCUUCUGGACUGACACUGACACUGAGGUGCGAAAGCGUGGGUAGCAAACAGGAUUAGAUACCCUGGUAGUCCACGCCGUAAACGAUGUGUGACUAGCCGUUGGGUCCUUCGCGGACUUUGUGGCGCAGUUAACGCGAUAAGUCGACCGCC